AAAGAAGAGUGGCGAACGGGUGAGUAACACGUGGGUAACCUGCCCAUCAGAAGGGGAUAACACUUGGAAACAGGUGCUAAUACCGUAUAACAAUCGAAACCGCAUGGUUUUGAUUUGAAAGGCGCUUUCGGGUGUCGCUGAUGGAUGGACCCGCGGUGCAUUAGCUAGUUGGUGAGGUAACGGCUCACCAAGGCCACGAUGCAUAGCCGACCUGAGAGGGUGAUCGGCCACAUUGGGACUGAGACACGGCCCAAACUCCUACGGGAGGCAGCAGUAGGGAAUCUUCGGCAAUGGACGAAAGUCUGACCGAGCAACGCCGCGUGAGUGAAGAAGGUUUUCGGAUCGUAAAACUCUGUUGUUAGAGAAGAACAAGGAUGAGAGUAACUGUUCAUCCCUUGACGGUAUCUAACCAGAAAGCCACGGCUAACUACGUGCCAGCAGCCGCGGUAAUACGUAGGUGGCAAGCGUUGUCCGGAUUUAUUGGGCGUAAAGCGAGCGCAGGCGGUUUCUUAAGUCUGAUGUGAAAGCCCCCGGCUCAACCGGGGAGGGUCAUUGGAAACUGGGAGACUUGAGUGCAGAAGAGGAGAGUGGAAUUCCAUGUGUAGCGGUGAAAUGCGUAGAUAUAUGGAGGAACACCAGUGGCGAAGGCGGCUCUCUGGUCUGUAACUGACGCUGAGGCUCGAAAGCGUGGGGAGCAAACAGGAUUAGAUACCCUGGUAGUCCACGCCGUAAACGAUGAGUGCUAAGUGUUGGAGGGUUUCCGCCCUUCAGUGCUGCAGCUAACGCAUUAAGCACUCCGCCUGGGGAGUACGACCGCAAGGUUGAAACUCAAAGGAAUUGACGGGGGCCCGCACAAGCGGUGGAGCAUGUGGUUUAAUUCGAAGCAACGCGA
Molecule: ribosomal RNA, 892 nt
Filed under: Enterococcus durans
Lineage: Bacteria; Bacillati; Bacillota; Bacilli; Lactobacillales; Enterococcaceae
Description: bacterial SSU rRNA
Rfam family: Bacterial small subunit ribosomal RNA
Source: RNAcentral